Molecule: long non-coding RNA, 7029 nt
Organism: Oryzias melastigma (Indian medaka)
Lineage: Eukaryota; Metazoa; Chordata; Actinopteri; Beloniformes; Adrianichthyidae
Exons: 3
Source: RefSeq, a predicted model, not a curated record
UUCUACAUUAUAAAUUUGUUUUGUUUUAAGGCCUCUUUUCGUUUUUAAUCUUCUUAGUUUGACUGGUUGUUCCUACACAAUUGCUUACUCUCAUUUAAAUUAUUUUAGUAAAAGGUGAAAUGUAUAUAUAUAUUUAUAUUUUCAGGCUGGAAUCAAAGAGCAUGUUUGUUAUUGGUUGUUGUCAAAGGAAGAGUCAGCCAAUUAAAACGAGGCGAAGAGCGGACGUCCACCUGUUGAGCGGCUUGUGAGUAAACUUAGUUUCUUUUCAGCCUUGAGUUUAACCGGUUCAAUUAAAGCUUUAAAUAUCAGAGGUUUAAAAAACAUUUUAACACAGUUAGGUAUUUCCACUUAGCUUAAUGUUUUGGUCGUCGUCAUUGCGGGGGUUUCAGGAGCCUUCUUCCAGUUCUCUCACAAGCACAGGGACAAGGGAGGCGAGGGCUGGAGAGCAGCCAAAAGAGGCCAGCCCGUCGUACAGCUGAAACUUUUACAAGCAGGAAGAGACACGCUGAACGAUCGCAGAAGAGAAAAGUCAGACUAAUAAGUCAGUCCUUUUUGCUUCUACUAUCCGCCUCUCCUCCGGUCAUCUGGAGGCUGCAACUUUGCUGAUUAAGAAGCAUCGCCGUUCAUCUUUGCUGCUAAAGCUCAAAGGUUGGCCUGGGAUGGAUGCCAAAAGCGGAAAAAAAAAAAAAAGUUAUGAUCUCUGAAAUACCCCGGUAGCUGAACUCCCUCCAACUCCUCCUACUCAGUGGAGCUGAUGUUAUCGUCCAACUGAAUGAGAGCCAGAGAACGUCAGGCGGAACAGAGAUGUCAGAGAAGACAGCCACUCUGAUGGGACGCUUUUAUUGGAGGGACCUCUUGGAUCUGAAAGCAGUUCCUGAUCUUGCGUGGUGAGAUAAAACAACAUGGCAGAAGAGCCAGGAACCUGCUUGUCUCUCCGCGGCUGUCUGUUGCUGCAGGGGUGGAGGACACGGCGAGAGGUGUGUUGAGGACGUUCUUCAUGCUCUCAGCUGCUGCUUCAUUGCUUGUGUCACCAAGUCUGUUUCGUGACAUUUUUCGCUUCCUCUCAUUUUUUUUUUGUCUGUCUGUGGCACUCUGUCUUUCUUAGCUCCUCCCACUUCUGUUCCUCCUCUCUACAGCGUGUUCCUCCCUUCCUGGUUGUGUGUCUCCCUCCUCCCUUCCCUUUUCUCCCCUUCCCUUCUUGGCAGCGGUGCCAAAGUGGGCUGGCAGAGCGAGGCAAGCAGAGCAGAGGGCGAUCUAAAGGCUGGCAAAUUGUUCACGUGUAGGUUGGAGCUGCCCUCUGUCUGUGUGUUUGCGGGUUUGACUCUGCCUGUGUCACAGGAAGCAGUGUGCGAUUUGGAGCUGUGCGUUUUCGUUUGUGUUGGACAUUAUGAGUGUGCUGCAUGUGAGCAGACGUCCCUCUGUCACCCUGUGGAUGGGCAGACGCUUUCACGCCUGUAGGAGGGGAUUGUGGGAAGGGGGUGUAGCUCUCAGAGGGUGUGCUCUACUCCUCUCGUUUCCCUUCUUCCCGCCACCACGGCCCUCUUCUCCUUCAGUUCUCCAGCCCAGCCCGCCGCACACGUACAGACUUCAGGUACUGCUCUCUUUUUCGUCCUCUUCCCAUCAUCUGAUCUUUCUCCUGUUGUUCCUCUUGCUCCCAAUCUCUGUCCUUCAUCUUCCUCCGGGAAACGUGUGUGCCGCUGCUGGUUGCCACGCCACACUCGGCCCAUCGCCAUUUUGGUUUAAUGGACACACCAGGAGAAACUUUUCUAAAGCAGAGUUACUCUGCGGAUCAUCGGCAUCCUCCCGACUUUCUGUAUCUCCUCUUUCUUUACCCGUCUGGGGCAUCAAAUUCUGUUUGGGUGGAGGGUUGGACAACCUGUGUCUUCUUUUUUUGUUUUGUUUUUUGUACUGAACAGGUGUCUCUUCAAGACUGGCAUGGAGAAAAACAGACACUUUAAGUGACUUUCCGAUCCACAGAGUCGUCUUAGAUAAAGUGCUGUUGUUGUCAGAUCAGGUCAGUGAAAGUUUAGCCACAAACCAGCGAGCUGAAGAGUCCCACAAACAGGAGGACUGAUGCUAGUCACGUCUCUUUUAAUGCGACACGUCGAUUACAAUAAAAAGACGAUGUUCCAGCUAUUUUCAUUUUUGUUUGCAAGUCUCUGCAGAAACUUAGAUGAAAGGCAGUUGUUUGACAAGACAAACGUGUGUUAAGUUUUAUGUUUCUGCAUGUAGGGGUGUGGCACUUUGGUUUAAGGUGCUAAUGUCUGGAAUAUUAAGUCAUAAAGCAGUGAGUGAGGGACAGUGCACUUCGGACAAAACUUGGGCAUAAAACACGGCGAUUCUAAACUACAGAUUGUUAAAAAAAAAACAAGAACAAAAGCGCUCAUGUUUGCUGCAUUUUUAUAUAUAUACCGCUGACAGUAAAUUUGUAUUCUAACCAAUUUUAAAAGACUGUGAUAAAACAAGGACACGGUUCGUCUUCACCUGCAUUCCUGAUAAAAGCCGCUUUCUGCAGAAGAGUGAGCAGUCUCAGAAGAACCACACGAAAUUCCAAUGCUGUUUCAUUCCAUAUUUAGAAUUAUGUUAGGAUAACAUUGCUACUUUUAGGAGCUUGUUGUCUUAUUGUUUCUCAGUCUAAAUAAGGGUUGGUGUUAAGAUGGCGCCUACAUGCCACGUGUAAACACGAGCAGACCCUCUCUGCGUACCCCUUAAGAUUACUGGGCAUGCUGCUGCCAGUUCCUCUUUAUCUGCCUGUUGUUUCCGACUGCUCCGUUUGGACAUUUGGGGACUGUUCAAAAGCAUAAAAAUGUGCACCUUUACAAAAUAAACCCCCCUUAGUAAUGCUACAACAACGAUAGCAAUAAAAUGAUAAAGGAAGCAGGAGAAAAAUAGAGAGAACAAGAGUUACUGUCGAGGGAAAGAGAGAGGUAGGAGUGGGAGAGCUCUUUCCCCGCCCCUCUCUUAUCCUCAGAUGAACUUAUCGAGUUGCCUCAUAAUGCUUCUGCGCGUUUUUUUUUUCCCCUCCUCAAGGCAGUCAGGCUAACUUCCUGCAUUCGGCUUCGGCACAGAUGAUUGGUUGAUAUCUCGGCUGACCGUGUGCAGUUUGCAGCAAAGCAACAGGAAGUUUCUCUUCACACGCAGGAAGCUGCAGCUGUGUUAUCCUGAAGCACACUACACUGCUCUCUUUCUCUCACACAUACUGUAACACAAAACAGCAGUAUGUAUGCCUGCAUGCUGUAUGCAUGAAGCAUGUAGUGACAUAGAAACAUUUAAAUCCAUUGUAACUGCAUACCCUCUUACUUUUUUUAGCCUUUCCAUUAAAUAAAAUGCAAUAUAAUAUUUUUUAAAUAUGUAUAUUUUUAUUUCGAAUAUUACUUAAAAAUACAAUAAAUAACAGCUGGGCUGUUUUAAUGUACGUUAAUCAAUGCUCUAAAUCAGCCCAAAAGCAUGUGGCCUACAGGUGAAGGAUGUGCACUGUUGUGGUUGUGUAAGUGAUCACAUAUGGCGGCACUUCCAUGUGUACAUGUAAAACGUGACUGUAAGCUGCGUGUCGGUUUUGCCUUGUUAAUGAGAACAUCAGACCAUCAGAGCCGGCGCCAAGCCAAGAGGGCUGGGGAGGAUCGACACCCGUGUCCUUCAUCUCUUAAUGUAGGAGUAGGGCAUUUCUCAGGUGGGGGAGGGAGUGAAUUUAGAGGAUCAGAAAAAAAAAGAAGAAAGAAACUCGCAUGAAUACGACGAGACAUUUGUUUGGAUCUUUGUCAGUUUGAUAUUUCUUAAUUCUAUCAUCAAUUGUGUGGCAUACUUCCUCUUCCCCAUUGUUUUUCCCCCUCCUGUUUUUUUUUUCCCUUUACUACCUCCUUACUGCCUUAUUGAAAUUCUGCCUGGCACACAGACACUGGCCACUCCUGGCACAAAGCUGAGACAGAAGGAGAGAACACACAAAUGCACAAGAACCUGUACCAGUUUCCCUCCUUUGUGGCUCCUGUGCCAAGCAUUCAUCCUGUGUCGCUGACGAAGAGAACCCACUAGGUAUUUUCCUGCCUCUGCUUCCUACGAUAAUCCGUCCAAAUUUGAGGAGUUUUUUUUCUGGCAGCCAUGGAGAACGUGUGUAUGUUUUGGCUUUUGAUUUCUCUAAGAUAUAAAGGAGACGUCUAAUAGGUAUCACAAAAAAAUGCCAGUUUUUCAUCUUUAGUUUUCCUUUUUGUUAUAUACUUUUUUUUUGGCACCACAAAAAUGUUGGUUUUAAACUUGUAAAAAACAAUUAUAUUUUACUUUAAAUAUCUAUUUUAUUUGCCAUUUGAUUGGGAAACAUCAACCAGGAAUGUAUGCGAUGAGCUUUCCCUCGAAGUCAACAUUUAAGCAUCUUUUUUUUUUUUUUUUUUACUUUUAUCUACCUCAGAACAAAUAUGCAUUAUUAUUCUGUAUUUAUAUAAAUUUAACUACAGAAAAACAUACUUAGUUGGACUUAAUAUGGGAGUAGAGGCUCUGUUUUCCUUGGCCUUUGUAACUCAAAGUUGUCACCAACGUUUCCACAUAUUUCUGUUUUGACAGUGCGCAGAUGGUUUGAUGAUUGAAUGAGAUUUACUCAGCGGCUUGAAUUUCUUUCGUUUCUCUUUUUAGGGAUCCUCUUUGCCGUCCCUCAGGCUUGAAGAGCAUUUAUUUUGUAGCUGCUGACAAAGAAAACGACUUGGCCCAGCUGAGCCAUACACGCCCCUUUUAUGUGGUCUGGAAAAUGCCCCCAGUGUCAGGCAGCAGGGCUCAGCGGAGCUCACAUGACUGACAAAAAAAGCAUUAAAAAUAUUAAUUAACUUACAAGCAUUUCAUGUUUUUAGUCUUAUAUUUACCCGGUUCAUGUUUGCCCCUAAAUCUUCGUCAGUUUGACCCGUAUUCCUGCGAACUCACAUCGCAGCCAGUCGCUUGUCUCGCCUUCCAAACACAGUUCCAUUCAUGGGAUGUGUCUUGGCGACCAAACAGGGCUCAUAGAUCUGUCACUGGCACAGUGGUAUAGGUGGGCAUGGUGCCAGCACUCCCCCACCCCACUCUGUCUGUCUGGGUUUCUGUAAUCAGCCUAGUGAGGGUUACUGCAUGCUAACUACAACCCAGUCUCGGGGGUCAUGGCUGUAUACUAAUGUAUGCAAGUAGUGCACACUCUAGCCCAUUCUCUGUCCCUCUGUGGCCCAGGCCUGGCAUUCAGGCUGCUACUCAUUAACCUUUCAGUUGCUGCUGUGUUAACCUAUUGGCACAUUUCAGCCCUAAUCCCAUGUUUAGUUGUAAUUUAGCAGCUCAUGACAGGCAGAAAUGGCUGUAUGGAGAGUUAUGCAGAGAGAUAACAUCUGGAUUGUCAAGGAGAACUGUAUGCAGCCAUGUUUUCACUCGUACGAUUAAAAAAAAACAUUUGUUUUGCUCUGCUUCAGUACUCGUGAUCCACUAUGACAUCUGGGUAUAUUGACUUCGUCUCAGGCAUUGGCACAAGAUCGACUCUCCAUAACUCAUGAUGCAACAGCUGCUCUUUUUUUUCAUGAGGCAGCAGACUUGCAAGAAAAAAAAUACUAUGAAAAGGUGGACCUCUUGGAGUUUUUAAAUUGACCUGAAAUGGCGGACACGCAGGACGCCAUUUUGUGCUUCCCUGUUCUGUUUUGGGGGGCAGAAUCCCAGCUUUGUGUUCAAUCAGAGGCAGCUGGUGGAAGCCAUAUUUGCAGGGAUCUGUGUGUGUACCUCCGCCUGAGGAGCAGCAGCCAGCCUACACAGGGAUAACCCAUUGGAAUGAGCUCAGUUUUUGGCAAAAACGGAACAGGAUUCCUGGCACGCAGUCGAACAGCUCCCUUUUUUUUUUUUUACUUUCGACCACAUGCCAGAAUCUCAGGAAGCCAGUGAGUUGUUUGUUGGGCUUUCACACAUUUGUACUCCCACUUUCUGAUGUCGGCUUACCGUUAAAAUAUUUGGCUGCGAUUUGUCCUGACGGAAGCCACUUCCAAAAGCUGGGCAGAUCAGCGAAAACAUGCAAAUUAGCGAGGGUCGUUCAUGAUGAGUGUUUGUCUAAAUCUUGGCAGCUGAAGACUUGUUGUCAAGACACACAAACGCUUUUAGGCAGAAGUAAUGUUUUUUUUUUACACUUCAGAGGUAAUACAUAGAGAUAAAACACAAACCUGUUUUUGCAAAGAAUAAACUAAAAUACCUCAUUCAGGUAAUUUUUUUUAUGUCAGUAUAAAUUUUGAAGAAGCUAAACACAUUUUUUCUCUUUUUUUCUCUGUUAUCACUACAGGAGAGAUCCUAUUGUGGAUGCUUGAUGCUGAAGCAGCAUGGAUGCUGUCCUUGGGGCUGAGGUAGUAGAUUGAAUAGUUGUGGGGUUUUCCGACCUCUUUCUUCAACUAACUAUCCAAUCUACUGUCUUUCCCAAGGAGGCAGCUGAGUCAGCCUCUCGGACGAUCAUCAUCUCAAGAGUGCCAAUCAUGCAGCUCAAUCUAAAAAACACACAUGCAACAGUUAGCAGAAAGAAUUGUUUGAAUAUGCUUUUUUUCUUUUCUUUAUCACAUUUCUCCUGCUGGCUUGGAUUCCUGUUGGACUCUGUCAGGGUGAGGUAGUAGGUUGUAUAGUUUGGUGGGUGGGACUCCGCCCUUCUCAGGUGAUAACUAUACAGUCUAUUGCCUUCCCUGAGGAGCUCGCUAUUCACGCAUGGAUUUUUGUCCUAACAUCUCAGCACAUUAUGGACUGCAAAUGUUUGAAUUAAAGGAUGGACUUUAAAUAAUAUUAAAUAAAUGAUCACUUGCCCCAAACUAAUUGUCCAAAACUUUGUAAACAGCAUGUUGAUCUACUGUCACACACUGAAAUUCUGAUUUAUGCUGAACUCAACUGUUGUUUUUCUUAGUAUUUAGCUCCAUCUAGUGGCAUGUAAAGAAACUGCUUCAACUUCACAAAAGUUUCGGAAAAUAAAAUGUUGCAAACCGGAGAGUUUGGGUUAUAUAAGUCAAAUCUCUGUUGGGUUCCAGUGUUGUUUCUUAGCUGCAAUAAAAUCUGAAAUGUUUUUUGAAA